Molecule: non-coding RNA, 72 nt
Organism: Picea glauca (white spruce)
Lineage: Eukaryota; Viridiplantae; Streptophyta; Pinopsida; Pinales; Pinaceae
Source: Rfam
UGGCAUUUGGUCUAGUGGUAUGAUUCUCUCUCAUGGUGCCAGAGGUCCCGAGUUCAAUUCUCGGAAUGCCCC